This 31-nucleotide non-coding RNA is filed under the name Mus musculus (house mouse). The record is from RNAcentral. Lineage: Eukaryota; Metazoa; Chordata; Mammalia; Rodentia; Muridae.
UGGAGAUUGGAGGUGAUCUAUCAUAAGAGGU